RNAcentral lists this ribosomal RNA (709 nucleotides) under uncultured soil bacterium. Its description in RNAcentral is "bacterial SSU rRNA". It matches the Rfam family "Bacterial small subunit ribosomal RNA", at positions 35 to 746 of the family's 1533-position model. The record is from RNAcentral.
GCUGGCGGCGUGCUUAACACAUGCAAGUCGAGUGCGCGCCUGUAGCAAUACAGGUGGCGCACGGCGCACGGGUGCGUAACACGUGGGUAAUCUGCCCUUCGAUGGGGAAUAACUCGCCGAAAGGCGAGCUAAUUCCGCAUAAUAUUCCGGGGACUUUGGUCCUUGGAUUCAAAGGCGUAAGUCGUCGGAGGAGGAGCCCGCGCACGAUUAGCUAGUUGGUGAGGUAAUGGCUCACCAAGGCUAUGAUCGUUAGCUGGUCUGAGAGGAUGGCCAGCCACACUGGAACUGAGACACGGUCCAGACUCCUACGGGAGGCAGCAGUGGGGAAUCUUGCACAAUGGGCGAAAGCCUGAUGCAGCGACGCCGCGUGGGGGAUGAAGCUUCUCGGAGUGUAAACCCCUUUCGACCCGGACGAAUGCCCCGCAAGGGGACUGACGGUACGGGUAUAAGAAGCCCCGGCUAACUACGUGCCAGCAGCCGCGGUAAGACGUAGGGGGCCAGCGUUGCUCGGAAUUACUGGGUGUAAAGGGUUCGUAGGCGGUGUGGCAAGUCGGGAGUGAAAUCUCUGGGCUCAACCCAGAGUCUGCUUCCGAAACUGCUGUGCUUGAGUGUGGGAGAGGCGCGUGGAAUUGCAGGUGUAGCGGUGAUAUGCGUAGAUAUCUGCAGGAACACCCGUGGCGAAAGCGGCGCGCUGGACCACUACUGACGC